AGGACGAACGCUGGCGGCGUGCUUAACACAUGCAAGUCGAGCGGAAAGGCCCUUUGGGGGUACUCGAGCGGCGAACGGGUGAGUAACACGUGAGUAAUCUGCCCUUCACUCUGGGAUAGCCCUCCGAAAGGGGGAUUAAUACCGGAUACGACGCGCUCCUGCAUGGGGGUGUGUGGAAACUUUUUGGGUGGGGGAUGUGCUCGCGGCCUAUCAGCUUGUUGGUGGGGUAAUGGCCUACCAAGGCUUCGACGGGUAGCCGGCCUGGAGAGGGUGACCGGCCACACUGGGACUGAGACACGGCCCAGACUCCGUACGGGAGCAGCAGUGGGGAAUAUGGACAAUGGGCGAAGCCUGAUCAGCAACGCGCGUGAGGGAUGACGGCCUUCGGUUCGUAAACCUCUUU
Molecule: ribosomal RNA, 403 nt
Filed under: uncultured soil bacterium
Lineage: Bacteria
Description: bacterial SSU rRNA
Rfam family: Bacterial small subunit ribosomal RNA
Source: RNAcentral